UAAGUACCCCGAGGAAAAGAAAUCAACCGAGAUUCCCCCAGUAGCGGCGAGCGAACGGGGAGGAGCCCAGAGCCUGAAUCAGUGUGUGUGUUAGUGGAAGCGUCUGGAAAGGCGCGCGAUACAGGGUGACAGCCCCGUACACAAAAAUGCACAUAUUGUGAGCUCGAUGAGUAGGGCGGGACACGUGGUAUCCUGUCUGAAUAUGGGGGGACCAUCCUCCAAGGCUAAAUACUCCUGACUGACCGAUAGUGAACCAGUACCGUGAGGGAAAGGCGAAAAGAACCCCGGCGAGGGGAGUGAAAAAGAACCUGAAACCGUGUACGUACAAGCAGUGGGAGCCUCUUAAUGGGGUGACUGCGUACCUUUUGUAUAAUGGGUCAGCGACUUAUAUUCUGUAGCAAGGUUAACCGAAUAGGGGAGCCGAAGGGAAACCGAGUCUUAACUGGGCGUUAAGUUGCAGGGUAUAGACCCGAAACCCGGUGAUCUAGCCAUGGGCAGGUUGAAGGUUGGGUAACACUAACUGGAGGACCGAACCGACUAAUGUUGAAAAAUUAGCGGAUGACUUGUGGCUGGGGGUGAAAGGCCAAUCAAACCGGGAGAUAGCUGGUUCUCCCCGAAAGCUAUUUAGGUAGCGCCUCGUGAAUUCAUCUCCGGGGGUAGAGCACUGUUUCGGCAAGGGGGUCAUCCCGACUUACCAACCCGAUGCAAACUGCGAAUACCGGAGAAUGUUAUCACGGGAGACACACGGCGGGUGCUAACGUCCGUCGUGAAGAGGGAAACAACCCAGACCGCCAGCUAAGGUCCCAAAGUCAUGGUUAAGUGGGAAACGAUGUGGGAAGGCCCAGACAGCCAGGAUGUUGGCUUAGAAGCAGCCAUCAUUUAAAGAAAGCGUAAUAGCUCACUGGUCGAGUCGGCCUGCGCGGAAGAUGUAACGGGGCUAAACCAUGCACCGAAGCUGCGGCAGCGACACUAUGUGUUGUUGGGUAGGGGAGCG
This 994-nucleotide ribosomal RNA is filed under the name Escherichia coli. RNAcentral's name for it is "partial 23S ribosomal RNA". It matches the Rfam family "Bacterial large subunit ribosomal RNA", at positions 203 to 1238 of the family's 2925-position model. The record is from RNAcentral. Lineage: Bacteria; Pseudomonadati; Pseudomonadota; Gammaproteobacteria; Enterobacterales; Enterobacteriaceae.